UUGUCCGAAUCCUGCACAGGAUCGCAUGCAACAGCUUGUAAGAGUUUAAAUAUUAUAUUUUUGCUGAAUUGAAUGAGAGUGUAAAGAAGCGGAGAACGUCGUACGUCUCUCGAGGUGACGGUUUCGUGUUAAUAUAGGCAGGGGCAUAUCCCUGAUAAGCAUACAAGUUUGUUGAGAUUACAUCUUGAGGUACAAGGAAAGUAGAGAUAAGAUAGAGAUGAAAAGAUUACAAUCAUAUACUCUAACAACCCUAGACCGAGACUUAUCUCAACACAACCGGUGCGUGGUGCGCCCCUUGGAACCUAACCAUUAUGUUGUUUAACACCCUCCCAUAAUCACAACUUGGACAAGUUGAGAUUACACUUAGAUUCUUCAAAACUUCUAGUAGACAAGGCUUUAGUGAAGCCAUCUGCAACUUGAUCUUGAGAUCGAAUGAUCCGAAUGUCCAGCUUCUUUUCUGCAACUCUUUCUCUGACAAAAUGAAAGUCUAUUUCAAUAUGUUUUGUUCUUGCAUGAAAUAUUGGGUUAGCAGAAAGAUAGGUGGCACCCAGAUUGUCACACCAUAAGCAUGGGGCUUGUUUACAGUGUAUCCCAAGCUCUUUCAGCAAUGACUGAACCCAGAUAAUUUCUGCAGUAGCAUUUGCUAGUGCUUUAUAUUCUGCUUCUGUGCUGGAUCUAGACACAGUAGCUUGUUUCUUAGCACACCAUGAGAUUAAAUUUGGACCAUAGAACACUGCAAAACCGCCUGUUGAGCGCCUGUCAUCAAGGCAACCUGCCCAAUCAGAAUCAGAAAAAGCACUGACAAGUGUUGAUGGUGACUUGGUGAAGGUGAGUCCAACACUAAAAGUGUUCUUGACAUAUCUAAGUAUGCGUUUUGCAGCUGUCAAAUGUACUGUAGUGGAUGCAUGAAGGAACUGACAUACUUUGUUCACAGCAAAGGAAAUAUCAGGCCGAGUCAGAGUUAAAUAUUGCAGUGCACAAACCAUACUUCUAUACCUUGUGCUGUCCUCUUGAUUCAAGAGUUUUCCUUCUAUUAAGGAUAAUUUUUCGGAGCUGGACAGAGGUGUUGGGGCUGGCUUGCAACCUUGCAACCCUACUCUUGUUACAAGGUUAGUUCCAUACUUUUCUUGGGAUAAAUGAAGCUCAUCUCCAUUUCUUUUUACCUCAAUGCCAAGAAAGUAGUGCAAGUCUCCUAGAUCCUGAAGAGCAAACUGAGUUCAAAUCGCUUCAUCAGAUGAGCUUGUGACAAUAAUAUCAUCAACAUAUAUGAGUACAAAUAUAGAGAUAUUUGACUUGUUGAAAAUAAACAAUGAGGUGUCAGACCUAGAGGGGGCAAACCCAAGUUCUUGAAGCUUUGAACUGAACCGAGAAUACCAUGCUCUAGGAGCUUGCUUUAGUCCAUACAAAGCCUUGUCAAGCCUGCAUAUGUGGAGGGGUUUUUGUCUGUUUUCAAACCCAGGAGGUUGUUUCAUGAACACUUCCUCUUCCAGAACACCAUGAAGGAACGCGUUCUGUACAUCUAGCUGGCGUAGACUCCAUCCUCUGGAUACAGCAAUAGACAAAACAAGAUGAAUAGUAGCAGCCUUUACAACAGGCUAAACGCAUCCUCAUAGUCUAAGCCGUACCUUUGCUUGAAACCUUUUGCAACUAGUCUAGCCUUAUAACGGUCUAUGGUGCCAUCAGAUUUCUUUUUAAUUCUGAAGACCCAUUUACAAUCUAUCACAUUUUUACCUUUACCUUGACGUGCCGGAACUAAGUGCCAGGUUUUGUUUUCGUGAAGUGCCAUGUACUCAUCUUCCAUAGCCUUCUGCCACUUUGGAUCGCCUAAGGCUUCUACAACAGUCUGUGGUAUAUCUAGUUCAUGUGAGACACAAGCAAGUCCAAACUUUGCUAAAGAUUUGUAAUUUUUGGGUUGAGUUACUCCCCUCUGAAGCCUAGUGCGAGGUGGCGAAGAAGCAUCCGCAGAAGAUCCAGCGCCAGUAGCAGCCGCAGGCCUGCUGGGCGAGGACACGCAGGCCAGAUCUUCUGUGGCCGGCGCACGUGACGCAGAAGGGGAAAGCGCCGCAGAGGAUCCCGAUCCCGCAUCGGUGGCAUGCUCAUGAUUGGCCAAUGAUGGAGCUGUCGGGGUAAGAUCUGCGUCAGGAUCCGCAUGGGAGUCUGCGCCCUCAUCCCGUCGUGACGUGCGCUGCGUGUAGCAGCGAGUGUCGGCGCCGAACCGACCAGGCGCGGGCGGCUGGAGGUGACACCGCGUGGCGCUGGCGGGUGGGCGCGGAGCGGUCGUCUGGCGGUCCACCAAGCCGCUGUUGUCGCGAGGCAGCGCGGGGCUCGGGGCGGAUCGGCCUGACGCGGUCGGCGCUGAUCCCACGGGGGAUAGCGCUCCAGACUGGCACAAGAGGGAUCCCGAGGAGGAUGCGCCUGGAUCCCGAGGCAUAUCUGCUUCGGUGCUGCUGCUGUUUUGUCCAGGGAGCAUAAAAUGACGAUUUUGGCUUAUUUCUUCACCAUUUUCUGCACAGUUUUUUUCUGUUGCAUCACAAAACUCAAGGCCAUCAUUAGUAAGAGGAUUAGAUAGCAAUUGAUCAUCAGUGUUUAAAGCAUCCCCAUUGUCUCGACCGGUGAGGUGUGAGGGUAGAAGAAGAAUCUCCUUUUGGAGAAGGGCUCCGGCAUUUGGGUGAAGUUGUGCAAAAGGGAAAACAGUUUCAUCGAACACAACGUCACGGGAGAUAUAGACACGUCCGGUGGAUACAUCAAGGCACUUCACACCCUUGUGUUGUGGACUGUAACCCAAGAAGACACAUUGUUUUGAUCGGAACAUGAGUUUACGAUUGUUGUACGGCCGAAGAUUUCACGCACACCCAAACACUCGUAAUGAUAUGUAGUCUGGUUUUGGGUGAAGGAGACGUUCUACUGGAGAUUCAUUGUUGAUGACCCUACUAGGGAACAUGUUUAUGAGGUGGACUGCGGUGAGAAAAGCCUCAUCCCAAAAUUUCAAAGGCAUGGAGGCAGCAGCGAGCAAGGCCAAGCCGACCUCAACUAUAUGCCUGUGCUUGCGCUCGGCUGAUCCAUUUUGCUGGUGAGCAUGGGGUCAUGACACGUGGUGUGAUAUGCCAAUUUGUUGAAAGAAGGAGUUGAGGUUUCUGUACUCCCCUCCCCAAUCAGAUUGGAGAGCUAAGAUUUUGCAAUCAAACUUUCUUUCUACUAGUGCUUGAAAGUUGUGAAAAACUUGAAACACAUCAGAUUUCUUUUUGAUGAGAUAGAUCCAGGUGUACUUGCUAUAAUCAUCAAUGAAACUUAUGUAAUAGGUGUGUCUACCAACUAAAGUAGGGGUAGGACCCCAAACAUCGGAAAAAAUGAGCUCAAGAGGUUUAGUGGAA
RNAcentral lists this ribosomal RNA (3371 nucleotides) under Triticum aestivum (bread wheat). RNAcentral's name for it is "partial small subunit ribosomal RNA". Lineage: Eukaryota; Viridiplantae; Streptophyta; Magnoliopsida; Poales; Poaceae. The record is from RNAcentral.